GGGAUAAACGACUGAAGGCAUCUAAGCGUGAAGACCCACCUUAAGAUAAGAUCUCCCAUAGCGUAAGCUAGUAAGACCCCUUAGAAGAACACAAGGUUGAUAGGUAAAAGGUGUAAGUAUGGUAACAUAUUUAGCUGAUUUAUACUAAUAGGUCGAGGGCUUGACCAAAAUUAGCA
This 176-nucleotide ribosomal RNA is filed under the name Candidatus Arthromitus sp. SFB-mouse-SU. Its description in RNAcentral is "partial 23S ribosomal RNA". It matches the Rfam family "Bacterial large subunit ribosomal RNA", at positions 2759 to 2925 of the family's 2925-position model. Lineage: Bacteria; Bacillati; Bacillota; Clostridia; Eubacteriales; Clostridiaceae. The record is from RNAcentral.